Molecule: long non-coding RNA, 1270 nt
Filed under: Numida meleagris (helmeted guineafowl)
Lineage: Eukaryota; Metazoa; Chordata; Aves; Galliformes; Numididae
Description: lncRNA (ENSNMEG00000010163.1)
Source: RNAcentral
AUUUAGUUCUGAGGCAGAGAAAAUGGGAAAAUCUGAAACAUUUCAUGUAACUGAAAAGGUCUUCAAUAUACAGAAAACAAGAGUAAGUUUUGAGGACCCUCUUGUCUAAGCUAUGUACUUCAGGGGCUGAUGCGAAAUUCAGUGUAGCAGAGAGUAUUGUGUGACUGUUGGUGGUGAGGAAGAAUUGAAGACCAUGGAAAACCCAAAUCAUGGUACCCUUUUAAAAGCAGUUCAGAGCCCUGACAGAUACGUGUUGGAAGAUCCUCAUAAUGGAGUAUUGAAUUUUACCAGACAACUUUUUUUUUUUUUUUCCUCAUCUGUAUUUCUGUUUUUCUCUCUGCUACCUUCUCUUUUUCAACAUUCACUUUUUUUGGGUAUGUGUUUUCAUCUUAGUUUGGUGUGUGCUGAAUGCAAUAACUAAAGUUCUGCUAAGGGUGAAGGCAUGAGGUCUGCACAGUACUGAGUUGCUUAGAAUCAGAUUUUAUGGAGCUGAAUGUCUCCAGAUGUAGCUUUACAGUGUUUGAGUUCAGCAAACACAAUCAGACAGGCUGUCUGGAUAUGAUAUCAAAAGAAGAAGGAACAUAGUUUUCAGGGUACAGCCCAGGACUUGAAGACAGCAUCAUAAACCAGCACUUCUGAGAUGCCCUAAGGGUCUUUGGAAGGGAGGAUUCCUAGAGGUGAAUAAUUCCCAGCUGUAAUCUACCGACAUAUGCCUCCAUAUCAAAGACCUGCUCUAAAUACAGAGCCAGAUAUGUCAGAGAAAAGGAUGAGACAGCAGGUGUUGACUUCUCUUGCUUUCUGAACCGCUCUUGCUCCUGUGUUCAUCAGGUAGAAGCAAACCUCAUAGAUACAGAUGGAAAAAACACCUGUCAGCUUCUCUGCAAGCAUAUUCCAUUUUUUUUUUGCCCACUGCUAUCUGUUGAAAGGGAUUUUCUCCUUUUCUGGAAUAAGUGAUCCCGUCCAGAGGAUGCAAGAAGCAUUUAAGGGUAUAUGCUCCUGUUAUUUCCUGCCAAUCUAUUUUAAUAGCUUUCCGGGGCUACAAAUGAAGAAGACAUGUCUUUUGUCACCCAUGAUUGUAUGUAACUGUGCACUGGCAUCAGGCAGCAACAAGAAAAGAGAAAAAAUAACCUGCAGAAUUGAACAGAAAAUAUGUGGGAUACAUCACCAAGUCCCACUGGAGAAAAACACUAGCAAAACACCUGCUGCAGCAGAAGUCUUUGUUAACUCCCCAAUGUCUGUGGCUAAGAAGAAGCACACAGGUGGCUCUUGA